AGCAGCCGCGGUAAUUCCAGCUCCAAUAGCGUAUAUUAAAGUUGUUGCAGUUAAAAAGCUCGUAGUUGAAUUUCGGGGUUAGCAGGUCGGUCGUGCCAUCGGUAUGAACUGGUCUCGCUGAUCCCUCCCUCUUGACGAACUGUGAUGCCAUUAAUUUGGUGUCGCAGGGAAUCAGGACUGUUACUUUGAAAAAUUGAGUGUUUAAAGCAGGCUCACGCUUGAAUACAUUAGCAUGGAAUAAUGAAAUAGGACGUUUGAUCCUAUUUUGUUGGUUUCUAGGAUUGACGUAAUGAUUAAUAGGGAUAGUUGGGGGCAUUAGUAUUCAAUUGUCAGAGGUGAAAUUCUUGGAUUUAUUGAAGACUAACUACUGCGAAAGCAUUUGCCAAGGAUGUUUUCAUUAAUCAAGAACGAAAGUUAGGGGAUCGAAGACGAUCAGAUACCGUCGUAGUCUUAACCAUAAACUAUGCCGACUAGGGAUCGGAUGAUGUUAAUUUUAAUGACUCAUUC
RNAcentral lists this unclassified non-coding RNA (507 nucleotides) under uncultured Glomus. RNAcentral describes it as "SSU rRNA". It matches the Rfam family "Eukaryotic small subunit ribosomal RNA", at positions 569 to 1081 of the family's 1831-position model. Lineage: Eukaryota; Fungi; Glomeromycota; Glomeromycetes; Glomerales; Glomeraceae. The record is from RNAcentral.